GAUCCUGGCUCAGGACGAACGCUGGCGGCGUGCCUAACACAUGCAAGUCGAACGGAGUUUAAAUGAGAGCUUGCUCUGAUUUAAAUUUAGUGGCGGACGGGUGAGUAACGCGUGAGCAACCUGCCUUUUUGAGGGGGAUAACACCGGGAAACCGGUGCUAAUACCGCAUAAUAUAUUGAGGUCGCAUGGCUUUGAUAUCAAAGGAGCAAUCCGCAAAAAGAUGGGCUCGCGUCCGAUUAGCUAGUUGG
RNAcentral lists this ribosomal RNA (248 nucleotides) under uncultured bacterium. RNAcentral describes it as "partial 16S ribosomal RNA". It matches the Rfam family "Bacterial small subunit ribosomal RNA", at positions 15 to 252 of the family's 1533-position model. The record is from RNAcentral.